This 224-nucleotide ribosomal RNA is filed under the name uncultured bacterium. RNAcentral's name for it is "partial 16S ribosomal RNA". It matches the Rfam family "Bacterial small subunit ribosomal RNA", at positions 108 to 334 of the family's 1533-position model. The record is from RNAcentral.
GAGUAAUAUGUAGGUAACGUGCCCCUUAGACCGGGAUAGCCACUGGAAACGGUGAUUAAUACCGGAUACUCCUACUAAGCACAAGCUUAGUUGGGAAAUGUAUUUCGCUAAGGGAUCGGCCUACAUCGCAUCAGCUAGUUGGUGAGGUAAGAGCUCACCAAGGCAAUGACGCGUAGCGGGUUUGAGAGGAUGAUCCGCCACACUGGUACUGAGACACGGACCAG